Non-coding RNA from Kogia breviceps (pygmy sperm whale), 786 nucleotides. NCBI's taxonomy places the organism in Eukaryota, Metazoa, Chordata, Mammalia, Artiodactyla, Physeteridae. The record is from RefSeq and is a predicted model, not a curated record.
UGGUCUGUGUGGUUGGGGAUACAGGAAGGAACAAGGCAGAGAUUAUCAUCAGUGGUAAACUGAAGCACCGAGAAGUCAAGCCACUUGCCUGAAGUCACACAGCUGGCAAAUACUGAGUCUGGGAUUCAGCACAGAGCCUGGCAAGAAUGAACUGGCCCAUAAAGGAUUGAGAACUGGGUUCUCUCUGAGCCACAUUUAUUAACUGAGAGCUUGAGACUGUCACUCUUCUUCCAGCCUCAGAAAACCCCACCUGGCUGGAGUCGGACCCCCCUGGGCUGGAGGUAGGCUUCCUUGCAUUGGGCCACAAGUUGUGGGCCAGUCAGGAUGAAAGCAGGGCCCUGAAUUCAUCGAGGGCUGCCCCGUUCUCCCUGCCAUGCCACAGAUCCUGCUAUCAGGGCCAGAUCUGGGCUUUUUGCCAGUCCUGGACCUGCUGCCAACAGGGGGGCCGUAGAACACCUGCUCUCAGGACUGUGAGCCAGUCCCAGCCCUUCUCACCUAUUCCUGGGAACGAAUCUAAAAUCCCCGGUCACUGUCCCCAGGAAGGCAAAUAAAGUCUUUCACAGUUCCUGGGUUCAUGUGCCAUGCCAGGCUUAGAAGGGGCAGGCUCUGGUGCCAGGCAGUUUUGGCUCUCUACCCCGGCUCAGGACCUGUGGGCUCUGACCCUGGGACACCACUGCACCCUCAGAGCCUCAGGGCCCCAUCAUAGUUUUGACAGAGCCCCUCUUUGGAAGGCUGUUGUAAGAUUAGAGAGAAAGCUUUUGCCUUGGUUCUCUGUUCUCUGCCCUC